GAAGUAUUACUCUGCAUAAAAGGAGUCGGGAAAAAAAACAAGUUGUAUUAAAGGAGAGAAAAAAGGUGGUAGAAAUCAGCCUAGUGAGGAUCUCCGAAUCGGCUACAACUGCAUUUCUAUCACUGCAUUUAUUGUGUAACCAGUUCGUAACUAUGGUUAAAGUCGUGCUGCUGUUGGGCGUUGUAUGGCUGGGUCGACCACUGGUGUACCGAUGUCUCUUGGGUAUAGCGGAUACCAAACCGCAAUGCCGCUGCCUUACUACACAACAACUUUAACGACCGUUUUCUACACCGAGGCCCUCAAGUACUACACCACUAAGCCAUCGGAGUAUGACACCAUAACUUACGCUUCCCCGAGCUACUACACCGAUGCCCCGAAUUAUUACUCUGCCUCCAGCUACACCACCAGAGCAGCGGAGUACUACAAGACUACCUACACCGAGUCUCCAGCUACUACACCGAAGCGCCUAAGUACUACUCUGCCCCGAACUACACAGCCACAACUGAGGCGGACAAGGAUUACGCAGCCCCCACUUACUACACAGAAGCUGUUCCUUCCUACAACGUUGAACAGAAAUACUACACUGAUGCUCCAGUUUACUACACCCCAGCUUACGCUACAUCUAGCAACAACACCGAAGCCCCCAAGUACAGCACCUAAGAAUCAUCAUAUUACAGAGCCACGUACGAUCUCCCAGUUUAGUACACUGAGGAACUUUAGUAUUACUCUGCUCCAAGCUACAACCAAACUAAGGCUCAUAAGUAUGAAACCGCUACUUACGCUGCUCCGACCUAUACACCCGAAGUUGCAGACUAUUCAUCUGUCCUAAGGUACUACACUACUAAGGCAGCAAUGUUUUACACCUCAACCUUCGCUUCUGCUGCCGAAGACAAGGAGACUUCUUAAUACUGCAGCUGAAUUUUAAGUUGAUUAUUUGUGUCGGGAUUUGUGUUCAGAUUUGUCGGUUAUAUUUUAAUAGUUGCUAGACAGAGAUAUGAUUGUGGCUGUUUAAUGAGAAAAUAAAUAUUUAAUUGCGGG
Daphnia pulicaria is the source of this 1038-nucleotide long non-coding RNA. RefSeq lists it as uncharacterized. The record is from RefSeq and is a predicted model, not a curated record. The transcript is spliced from 3 exons. Lineage: Eukaryota; Metazoa; Arthropoda; Branchiopoda; Diplostraca; Daphniidae.